RNAcentral lists this ribosomal RNA (673 nucleotides) under uncultured haloarchaeon. RNAcentral's name for it is "bacterial SSU rRNA". It matches the Rfam family "Archaeal small subunit ribosomal RNA", at positions 321 to 997 of the family's 1478-position model. The record is from RNAcentral. Lineage: Archaea; Methanobacteriati; Methanobacteriota; Halobacteria; Halobacteriales; Halobacteriaceae.
CCCUAUGGGGUGCAGCAGGCGCGAAAACUUUACAAUGCGCGAAAGCGCGAUAAGGGGACCCCGAGUGCGAGGGCAUAACGUCCUCGCUUUUGUAUAUCGUAAGAAGAUAUACGAAUAAGGGCUGGGCAAGACCGGUGCCAGCCGCCGCGGUAAUACCGGCAGCUCGAGUGAUGAUCACUAUUAUUGGGCCUAAAGCGUCCGUAGCCGGUUGAACAAGUCCUUCGGCAAAUCCACUCGCUCAACGAGUGGGCUCUCGAGGGAAACUGUUCGACUUGGGGCCGGGAGAUCUGAGGGGUACGUCUAGGGUAGGGGUGAAAUCCUGUAAUCCUAGACGGACCGCCGGUGGCGAAAGCGCCUCAGAAGAACGGACCCGACGGUCAGGGACGAAAGCUAGGGUCUCGAACCGGAUUAGAUACCCGGGUAGUCCUAGCCGUAAACGAUGCUCGCUAGGUGUUGCGAAAGCUACGUGCUUUUGCUGUGCCGUAGGGAAGCCGUGAAGCGAGCCGCCUGGGAAGUACGUCCGCAAGGAUGAAACUUAAAGGAAUUGGCGGGGGAGCACUACAACCGGAGGAGCCUGCGGUUUAAUUGGACUCAACGCCGGAAAUCUCACCAGUACCGACAUUGCAGUGACAGUCAAGUGAUGACUUUACUCGAGCUCUGAGAGAGUGCAUGG